GUCCGGCUGACGAGUCCCAAACAGGACGAAACGCGCGUCCUGGAU
Non-coding RNA from Schistosoma margrebowiei, 45 nucleotides. NCBI's taxonomy places the organism in Eukaryota, Metazoa, Platyhelminthes, Trematoda, Strigeidida, Schistosomatidae. The record is from Rfam.